Coffea eugenioides is the source of this 2112-nucleotide RNA transcript. It is a transcript of the gene named glycosyltransferase family 92 protein RCOM_0530710-like, with no coding region annotated. Lineage: Eukaryota; Viridiplantae; Streptophyta; Magnoliopsida; Gentianales; Rubiaceae. The record is from RefSeq and is a predicted model, not a curated record. The transcript is spliced from 3 exons.
UAUACUUGUUCUUCUGGGUCAUUAAUAUCUGUUGUGGAAUAACAAGAAAAAACUGACACUUCUAGGAAGCAAAUUAAAUCUGCCGGGUUCCGGUGAUGCCGGUGAUGGUUUCUCAGUGAUCACGUACUCCUCAUCAGGAUGGUGGCCGCGACGGCUUUGGUGGGCGGCCUGAGUUCUUUGAAAGAUCGCAAGAAACAUUCUUGUCUCUGGUUACCCAGGAAUACCUUCUUCUUCUUCACUCUCGUCCUGGUUUUUCUUUCCGGCUUCACUUUCUUCCACUUCUUCUCCUUGAAAAGAGAUGAGUACUUUCGUCCAAAGCUCAAGUCCACGUUGCAUAUUUUCCCGAUGGAAGCUGUUUCCGGCGAAUCAUCGCCGGCGACUCCGGCCAUCACAAUUCAAGAGACGGUAGCUCUUCCUGACCAGGUUCUGGUGUUCCUAAAGUACCCUCCGUCAACUCCGUUAUUUACCAAAGAUGACAUCAGAUGUAUAUACUUGUCCUCGCCCAACUCAACCAAUAAUCAUCAUCAUCAUGAUCAGCUUGAGCUCUUCCCAGAAUCAGUGGAGGACGAACACCUGGAUCGGCAGAUCGUACGGUGCCCACAUGUGCCACGUGGCUUGGUGGUUUCUGUUUCCUUCAAGGCCAAGGGCAACUUCCCAAUCGGGCCCAUAUAUCGGUGGGACUCAUUGGCCUAUGAGGCGAUGAUCGACCAUGACAACACCACGGUGGUUUUUGUCAAAGGUUUUAACCUACGGUCGGGACGGGUCUAUGACCCUUCCAAAUUCAAGUGCGUCUACGGUUGGGAUUUGUCGAGACCCAAGUCAACGUUGUUAUCCGACGCCGUUUCAGUAGCUCAGGAAAUUGUGCGUUGCAAGACGCCUAGGAGCAUCUUGAAUGGGUCACACAAGAAUUGGCAUGGGAAUGUUUCAAUCAAGGUUUCGGUUAGGCUAGUUGGUAGGAGGAAGAUGUUGAAUUCAAUUGCAAGGCCCGAAACCCGUUUGAAGCUCGGCCCAAAAGUCGAGAAACGGCACCAAAUGUGCAUUUGCACCAUGCUAAGAAAUCAAGCACGCUUUCUACGGGAAUGGGUGAUGUAUCACGCUCACAUUGGCGUGGAACAUUGGUUUAUUUACGAUAACAACAGUGUUGAUGACGUUAAGGACGUAAUCCAAUCAUUAAUUGAUGAUAAUUACAAUGUUUCGCGACAUGUGUGGCCGUGGAUCAAGUCCCAGGAAGCUGGAUUUGCUCAUUGUGCCUUGCGGGCUAGGGAUUCGUGUGAAUGGGUUGGAUUCAUCGACGUUGACGAAUUCUUUCACUUGCCAUCGGGCUUGUCACUCCAUGAUGUUCUCAAGAACCAGUCCAAGUCAAAAGAGAUCGUAGAGCUACGGGCCUCGUGUCACAACUUUGGCCCGUCGGGCCUUCGCAAGGUCCCUGUGGAAGGGGUAACUGUUGGGUACACUUGUCGAAUGAAGUCUCCGGAGAGGCACAAGAGCAUAGUGAAACCUGAAGCACUGAAUGAUACAUUGAUCAAUAUGGUGCACCAUUUUCACUUGAAGGCUGGUUUGAGGCCAGCCAAUUUGGGCAAGAACAUGCUAGUCAUCAACCACUAUAAGUACCAAGUGUGGGAAGUGUUCAAGCAGAAAUUCGACAUGAGGGUGGCUACAUAUGUCUCUGAUUGGAAACAAAAGCGAAAUGGACGGUCCAAAGAUCGAACACCUGGUUUAGGGACCAGUACUGUUGAACCACCAGAUUGGACGAGCAGGUUUUGUCAGGUCAAGGACACUGGCUUGCGGGAUCGUAUAAUCGAUACGUUUGCUGAAACAAGGACCGGCAUGUUGCCGUGGCAAAAGAAUAUUAGCUGAGCCGGAAAAAUCAAUAACAGUUGCAGGUGGAGCUGGAGGAAGUGAACUGUGCAUGAGGAACGGAAUCCAAUCAGUAAAACCAAGAAGGAGUUUGGACAGCCGUAUACAAGAAAGGGAAACUGGGAGAAGAAGGCAAAAGGAAUAUUGUUUGCCCAUUGUUUAUUUUGUCAAUUAGUCACACUGCAAAUAUUGCCAUCAUCUGGUUUUUGCGUAUGAUUUGUCCGUCAAGCUGCUUUUUGAGCCACCGGCUUUAUA